CAGCAGCCGCGGGAAUACGGAGGAUCCAAGCGUUAUCCGGAAUCAUUGGGUUUAAAGUGUCCGUAGGCGGUCUUGUAAGUCAGUGGUGAAAGCCCAUCGCUCAACGGUGGAACGGCCAUUGAUACUGCAGGACUUGAAUUAUUGGGAAGUAACUAGAAUAUGUAGUGUAGCGGUGAAAUGCUUAGAGAUUACAUGGAAUACCAAUUGCGAAGGCAGGUUACUACCAAUUGAUUGACGCUGAUGGACGAAAGCGUGGGUAGCGAACAGGAUUAGAUACCCCCGUAGUCCCUGUCUCUUAUAC
This 301-nucleotide ribosomal RNA is filed under the name uncultured bacterium. RNAcentral describes it as "partial 16S ribosomal RNA". It matches the Rfam family "Bacterial small subunit ribosomal RNA", at positions 509 to 807 of the family's 1533-position model. The record is from RNAcentral.